This 253-nucleotide ribosomal RNA is filed under the name uncultured bacterium. Its description in RNAcentral is "partial 16S ribosomal RNA". It matches the Rfam family "Bacterial small subunit ribosomal RNA", at positions 524 to 776 of the family's 1533-position model. The record is from RNAcentral.
UACGGAGGGGGCUAGCGUUGUUCGGAAUUACUGGGCGUAAAGCGCACGUAGGCGGACUUGAAAGUCAGGGGUGAAAUCCCGGGGCUCAACCCCGGAACUGCCUUUGAAACUGCGAGGCUAGAGGUCGGGAGAGGUGAGUGGAAUUCCGAGUGUAGAGGUGAAAUUCGUAGAUAUUCGGAAGAACACCAGUGGCGAAGGCGGCUCGCUGGAUAAGUAUUGACUCUGAGGUGCGAAAGCGUGGGGAGCAAACAGG